GCGGGAGUAGCUCAGUUGGCCAGAGCAUUUGCUUCCCAAGCAAGAGGUCGCGGGUUCGAAUCCCGUCUCCCGCU
This 74-nucleotide transfer RNA is filed under the name Candidatus Dadabacteria bacterium. RNAcentral describes it as "tRNA-Gly". It matches the Rfam family "tRNA". From Rfam's summary of the family: Transfer RNA (tRNA) molecules are approximately 80 nucleotides in length. Lineage: Bacteria; Pseudomonadati; Thermodesulfobacteriota; Candidatus Dadabacteria. The record is from RNAcentral.